This 830-nucleotide ribosomal RNA is filed under the name uncultured bacterium. Its description in RNAcentral is "bacterial SSU rRNA". It matches the Rfam family "Bacterial small subunit ribosomal RNA", at positions 1 to 832 of the family's 1533-position model. The record is from RNAcentral.
UAGAGUUUGAUCAUGGCUCAGAUUAAACGCUGGCGGCAUGCCUUACACAUGCAAGUCGAACGGCAGCACGGGGGCAACCCUGGUGGCGAGUGGCGGACGGGUGAGUAAAGCAUCGGAACGUAUCCUGGAGUGGGGGAUAACGUAGCGAAAGUUACGCUAAUACCGCAUAUUCUGUAAGCAGGAAAGCAGGGGAUCGCAAGACCUUGCGCUCUGGGAGCGGCCGAUGUCGGAUUAGCUAGUUGGUGGGGUAAAGGCCUACCAAGGCGACGAUCCGUAGCGGGUCUGAGAGGAUGAUCCGCCACACUGGGACUGAGACACGGCCCAGACUCCUACGGGAGGCAGCAGUGGGGAAUUUUGGACAAUGGGCGCAAGCCUGAUCCAGCCAUGCCGCGUGAGUGAAGAAGGCCUUCGGGUUGUAAAGCUCUUUCGGCAGGAACGAAACGGUCGUCUCUAACAUAGACGGCUAAUGACGGUACCUGAAGAAGAAGCACCGGCUAACUACGUGCCAGCAGCCGCGGUAAUACGUAGGGUGCGAGCGUUAAUCGGAAUUACUGGGCGUAAAGCGUGCGCAGGCGGCUUUGUAAGACAGGUGUGAAAUCCCCGGGCUUAACCUGGGAACUGCGCUUGUGACUGCAAGGCUUGAGUGCGGCAGAGGGGGGUGGAAUUCCACGUGUAGCAGCGAAAUGCGUAGAGAUGUGGAGGAACACCGAUGGCGAAGGCAGCCCCCUGGGUCGACACUGACGCUCAUGCACGAAAGCGUGGGGAGCAAACAGGAUUAGAUACCCUGGUAGUCCACGCCCUAAACGAUGUCGACUGGUUGUUGGGAGGGU